UACGAAGGGGGGCUAGCGUUGUUCGGAAUUACUGGGCGUAAAGCGCGCGCAGGUGGUCUUUCAAGUCAGUGGUGAAAGCCCGGAGCUCAACUCCGGAAAUGCCAUUGAAACUGUAAGACUUGAGGAUGAGAGAGGUGAGUGGAAUUCCCAGUGUAGAGGUGAAAUUCGUAGAUAUUCGGAAGAACACCAGUGGCGAAGGCGACUCACUGGCCCGUUACUGACGCUGAGGCGCGAAAGCGUGGGGAGCAAACAGG
This 254-nucleotide ribosomal RNA is filed under the name uncultured bacterium. Its description in RNAcentral is "partial 16S ribosomal RNA". It matches the Rfam family "Bacterial small subunit ribosomal RNA", at positions 524 to 776 of the family's 1533-position model. The record is from RNAcentral.